This 325-nucleotide ribosomal RNA is filed under the name uncultured eukaryote. RNAcentral describes it as "partial 18S ribosomal RNA". It matches the Rfam family "Eukaryotic small subunit ribosomal RNA", at positions 1470 to 1796 of the family's 1831-position model. The record is from RNAcentral.
CCCUUAGAUGUUCUGGGCCGCACGCGCGCUACACUGAUGCAUUCAACGAGCCUAUCCUUGACCGACAGGUCCGGGUAAUCUUUGAAUCUGCAUCGUGACGGGGAUAGAUUAUUGCAAUUAUUAAUCUUCAACGAGAAAUGCCUAGUAGGCGCAAGUCAUCAGCUUGCGUUGAUUACGUCCCUGCCCUUUGUACACACCGCCCGUCGCUCCUACCGAUUGGGUGUGCUGGUGAAAUGUUCGGAUCGGCCGUUUGUCGCGGUUUCCGCGUCAUGUGGCUGAGAAGUUCAUUAAACCCUCCCACCUAGAGGAAGGAGAAGUCGUAACA